Molecule: ribosomal RNA, 759 nt
Filed under: uncultured bacterium
Lineage: Bacteria
Description: bacterial SSU rRNA
Rfam family: Bacterial small subunit ribosomal RNA
Source: RNAcentral
GGGUGAGUAACGCGUAUGCAACCUUCUUAUUCUUUUGGGAUAGCUCGUUGAAAGCGAAUUUAAUACUUUAUUAUACAGGGACUCCGCAUGGAGAUUAUUUGUUAAAGAUUUAUUGGUAGUAGAUGGGCAUGCGUUCCAUUAGCUUGUUGGUGAGGUAACUGCUCACCAAGGCAUCGAUGGAUAGGGGAACUGAGAGGUUUGUCCCCCACACUGGAACUGAGACACGGUCCAGACUCCUACGGGAGGCAGCAGUGAGGAAUAUUGGUCAAUGGAGGCAACUCUGAACCAGCCAAGUCGCGUGAAGGAUGACGGCCCUACGGGUUGUAAACUUCUUUUUUAAGGGAAUAAAGUGAGCCACGUGUGGCUUUUUGCAAGUACCUUACGAAUAAGGAUCGGCUAACUCCGUGCCAGCAGCCGCGGUAAUACGGGGGAUCCGAGCGUUAUCCGGAUUUAUUGGGUUUAAAGGGUGCGCAGGCGGAAUAUUAAGUCGGCGGUGAAAGUUUGCAGCUUAACUGUAAAAUUGCCGUUGAUACUGGUAUUCUUGAGUGUAUAUGAAGUAGGCGGAAUUUGUAGUGUAGCGGUGAAAUGCAUAGAUAUUACAAGGAACUCCAAUUGCGAAGGCAGCUUAUUAAAUUACAACUGACGCUUAGGCACGAAGGCGUGGGUAUCAAACAGGAUUAGAUACCCUGGUAGUCCACGCAGUAAACGAUGAUUACUCGCUGUUUGCGAUACACAGUAAGCGGCUUAGCGAAAGCGUUA